GUCUAUGGCCAUACCACCCUGAACUCGCCUGAUCUCGUCUGAUCUCGGAAGCUAAGCAGGGUCGGGCCUGGUUAGUACUUGAAUGGGAGACCGCCUGGGAAUACCAGGUGCUGUAGGCU
Monodelphis domestica (gray short-tailed opossum) is the source of this 119-nucleotide ribosomal RNA. The record is from Ensembl. Lineage: Eukaryota; Metazoa; Chordata; Mammalia; Didelphimorphia; Didelphidae.